This 85-nucleotide transfer RNA is filed under the name Candidatus Pacearchaeota archaeon. RNAcentral describes it as "tRNA-Leu". It matches the Rfam family "tRNA". From Rfam's summary of the family: Transfer RNA (tRNA) molecules are approximately 80 nucleotides in length. The record is from RNAcentral. Lineage: Archaea; Nanobdellati.
GCGGGGGUGCCGGAGUUGGUCAAACGGGCUGGACUUAAGAUCCAGUAGCUUAGUGCUUGCGCAGGUUCGAGUCCUGUCCCUCGCA